AGUGAACGCUGGCGGUAGGCCUAACACAUGCAAGUCGAACGGCAGCACAGUAAGAGCUUGCUCUUACGGGUGGCGAGUGGCGGACGGGUGAGGAAUACAUCGGAAUCUACUUUUUCGUGGGGGAUAACGUAGGGAAACUUACGCUAAUACCGCAUACGACCUACGGGUGAAAGCAGGGGAUCUUCGGACCUUGCGCGAUUGACUGAGCCGAUGUCGGAUUAGCUAGUUGGCGGGGUAAAGGCCCACCAAGGCGACGAUCCGUAGCUGGUCUGAGAGGAUGAUCAGCCACACUGGAACUGAGACAAGGUCCAGACUCCUACGGGAGGCAGCAGUGGGGAAUAUUGGACAAUGGGCGCAAGCCUGAUCCAGCCAUACCGCGUGGGUGAAGAAGGCCUUCGGGUUGUAAAGCCCUUUUGUUGGGAAAGAAAAGCAGCAGGUUAAUACCCCGCUGUUCUGACGGUACCCAAAGAAUAAGCACCGGCUAACUUCGUG
Molecule: ribosomal RNA, 492 nt
Filed under: uncultured bacterium
Lineage: Bacteria
Description: partial 16S ribosomal RNA
Rfam family: Bacterial small subunit ribosomal RNA
Source: RNAcentral